This 429-nucleotide ribosomal RNA is filed under the name Gemmatimonadota bacterium. RNAcentral describes it as "Gemmatimonadetes bacterium partial 16S ribosomal RNA". It matches the Rfam family "Bacterial small subunit ribosomal RNA", at positions 355 to 776 of the family's 1533-position model. Lineage: Bacteria; Pseudomonadati; Gemmatimonadota. The record is from RNAcentral.
UAGGGAAUCUUCGGCAAUGGACGAAAGUCUGACCGAGCAACGCCGCGUGAGUGAAGAAGGUUUCCGGAUCGUAAAACUCUGUUGUUAGAGAAGAACAAGGACGUUAGUAACUGAACGUCCCCUGACGGUAUCUAACCAGAAAGCCACGGCUAACUACGUGCCAGCAGCCGCGGUAAUACGUAGGUGGCAAGCGUUGUCCGGCUUUAUUGGGCGUAAAGCGAGCGCAGGCGGUUUCUUAAGUCUGAUGUGAAAGCCCCCGGCUCAACCGGGGAGGGUGAUUGGAAACUGGGAGAGUUGAGUGCAGAAGAGGAGAGUGGAAUUCCAUGUGUAGCGGUGAAAUUCGUAGAUAUAUGGAGGAACACCAGUGGCGAAGGCGGCUCUCUGGUCUAUAGCUGACGCUGAGGCUCGAAAGCGUGGGGAGCAAACAGG